GAUGAACGCUAGCUGGAGGCUUAAUACAUGCAAGUCGAGCGGGAUUGGGUAGCAAUACCCAUGAGAGCGGCGCACGGGUGAGUAGCGCGUACACGACCUACCUCUAACAGGGGGAUAGCCCUGGGAAGCUGGGAUUAAUACCGCAUAUAAUUCUGAAUAAUAAAGGUUUGGAAUGAAAGCUGAGGCGGUUAGAGAUGGGUGUGCGUCUGAUUAGCUAGUUGGUAGGGUAACGGCCUACCAAGGCGAUGAUCAGUAGGGGGCGUGAGAGCGUGGUCCCCCACACGGGUACUGAGACACGGACCCGACUCCUACGGGAGGCAGCAGUAAGGAAUAUUGGUCAAUGGACGAAAGCCUGAACCAGCCAUCCAGCGUGCAGGAAGAAGGCCCUAUGGGUUGUAAACUGCUUUUAUCAGGGAAGAAACCUCUGGAUUUACUCCGGAGCUGACGGUACCUGAAGAAUAAGCACCGGCUAACUACGUGCCAGCCGCCGCCGUAA
Molecule: ribosomal RNA, 496 nt
Filed under: uncultured bacterium
Lineage: Bacteria
Description: partial 16S ribosomal RNA
Rfam family: Bacterial small subunit ribosomal RNA
Source: RNAcentral